Molecule: unclassified non-coding RNA, 487 nt
Filed under: Hevea brasiliensis (rubber tree)
Lineage: Eukaryota; Viridiplantae; Streptophyta; Magnoliopsida; Malpighiales; Euphorbiaceae
Source: RNAcentral
GGGAGGGGAAAAAAUAAUAGAAAACGGAAAAGGAAAAGAAGAAGUUGAUCAAAAGUCAAAAAUUUGAUCUCAAGCUAUAAUUUGGAGAAAAUUCAGCAUAGUCAAAGAUCAAUGUAAUAAUUAUCUGUACAAGAGGCAAAUUGCCAAUCAAAUAAGCACUUCCUCAUUGGUAUGAGCAAACAUAACGGCAUCUUUUGAAGAAAAUUUAAGGAAAAACAUAUCACUGAACAUGACAAAGGGAAGAGAAGAGGAGAAAUGCCAUAUUCAACUGUUUGUUAUGCCUGGACUUAAAUUUUAGGUUUCAGCAGUCCCUCAAAUGUCAGAGUUAAUAUGUGACGCCUAGGAACCUACUGAUGAAUCUCCAAGCAAGAGUCUAUCCGCUUGCUGCUGGGAAUAUAAAGUCAACUUCAUUUCAAAUGCAAGCUAAGUGGCUGCAGCAUCAUUAUGGAUAAAAAUUAUUUAUACACUUGCCUGAAAUGAAUUUGCU